RNAcentral lists this ribosomal RNA (442 nucleotides) under uncultured bacterium. RNAcentral describes it as "partial 16S ribosomal RNA". It matches the Rfam family "Bacterial small subunit ribosomal RNA", at positions 338 to 795 of the family's 1533-position model. The record is from RNAcentral.
CCUACGGGAGGCAGCAGUGGGGAAUAUUGGGCAAUGGGCGCAAGCCUGACCCAGCAACGCCGCGUGAAGGAAGAAGGCUUUCGGGUUGUAAACUUCUUUUCAGAGGGAAGAGCAGAAGACGGUACCUCUUUAAUAAGCCACGGCUAACUACGUGCCAGCAGCCGCGGUAAUCCGUAGGUAGCAAGCGUUGUCCGUAAUUACUGGGUGUAAAGGGCGUGUAGCCGGGCUGACAAGUCAGAUGUGAAAUCUCCGGGCUCAACCACGGAACUGCAUUUGAAACUGGCGGUCUUGAGGGUCGGAGAGGCAGGCGGAAUUCCUAGUGUAGCGGUGAAAUGCGUAGAUAUUAGGAGGAACACCAGUGGCGAAGGCGACCUGCUGGACGGCAACUGACGGUGAGGCGCGAAAGCGUGGGGAGCGAACAGGAUUAGAUACCCGAGUAGUC